UUACGAGUUAUACAAAACUCCAACCCUUUGUGAACCUACCUAAGUUGCCUCGGCGUGUGCUGCGGUUACCCUGUAGUUACCCUGUAGACGUUUACCCUAUAGGUGUCUACCCUGUAACUACCCCGUAAUCGGUCAACGGCCCGCCGAAGGACCACUAAACUCUGUUUUUACCCAGGUGUAUCUCUGAAUGCUUCAACUAAAUAAGUUAAAACUUUCAACAACGGAUCUCUUGGUUCUGGCAUCGAUGAAGAACGCAGCGAAAUGCGAUAAGUAAUGUGAAUUGCAGAAUUCAGUGAAUCAUCGAAUCUUUGAACGCACAUUGCGCCCAUUAGUAUUCUAGUGGGCAUGCCUAUUCGAGCGUCAUUUCGACCUUUAAGCCCUGUGGCUUAGCGUUGGGAGUCCGCGUUUCAGCGGUUCCUCAAAGUCAUCGGCGGAGUUAUAGCACACUCUAAGCGUAGUAAUCUCACCUCUCGCUUCUGUGGUGGCUUUAACUGCCUGCCGUAAACCCCCUAUAUUUUUUUAAUGGUUGACCUCGGAUUAGGUAGGAAUACCCGCUGAACUUAAGCAUAUCAAUAAGCGGAGGAAAAGAAACCAACAGGGAUUGCCCUAGUAACGGCGAGUGAAGCGGCAACAGCUCAAAUUUGAAAUCUGGCCCUCGUGGUCCGAGUUGUAAUUUGCAGAGGAUGCUUUUGGUGCGGUGCCUUCCGAGUUCCCUGGAACGGGACGCCAGAGAGGGUGAGAGCCCCGUACGGUUGGACGCCUACCCUAUAUAUAGCUCCUUCGACGAGUCGAGUAGUUUGGGAAUGCUGCUCUAAAUGGGAGGUAAAUUUCUUCUAAAGCUAAAUACCGGCCAGAGACCGAUAGCGCACAAGUAGAGUGAUCGAAAGAUGAAAAGCACUUUGAAAAGAGGGUUAAAUAGCACGUGAAAUUGUUGAAAGGGAAGCGUUUGCGACCAGACCUUCUCUAGGCGGAUCAUCCGGUGUUCUCACCGGUGCACUUCGCCUGGUUUAGGCCAGCAUCGGUUUUCUUAGGGGGAUAAAGGCUCGGGGAACGUAGCUCUUUAGGGAGUGUUAUAGCCCCUUGCGUAAUACCUCUCGGGGGACCGA
This 1106-nucleotide ribosomal RNA is filed under the name Xylariaceae sp. Its description in RNAcentral is "eukaryotic LSU rRNA". The stretch from base 528 to 1106 matches the Rfam family "Eukaryotic large subunit ribosomal RNA", at positions 1 to 589 of the family's 3401-position model. Lineage: Eukaryota; Fungi; Ascomycota; Sordariomycetes; Xylariales; Xylariaceae. The record is from RNAcentral.